Long non-coding RNA from Pseudopipra pipra, 545 nucleotides. RefSeq lists it as uncharacterized. The transcript has 2 exons. The record is from RefSeq and is a predicted model, not a curated record. Lineage: Eukaryota; Metazoa; Chordata; Aves; Passeriformes; Pipridae.
UAAAUGCUAAAAUGAAAUAAGAAGAUUAGAGAAGAAAGGCGCCGCUCCGCAGCGCGCGCCUGCCGAUUGCCUCCCGCCGGAGCCGCCGCGCAGGGCGGGGGGCGCGGGGACCCGGCCCGCCGGCGAGCGGGAGUGCCAGGGAAAGGGUCAAGGUGGGCCAAGCAUCUCCCACCGGCGCCGGUGCUGCCUGGCACCGAGCCAGGGCGAGAGGCGGGACGGACCCCCUUCCCAUCUCCGCGGGGUGCCGGGUGCUCCGGUUCUCUGGCUCACCCUGUGUCUGAUGCGACGGCAGCAGCGCUCCACGGAGCUUAUUCCAAGGCGGCGUAAUCUUUCUAAGCAGCAAAGAGGGGCAGGGACGCCGCUGAGCUCCCGGCAGACAGAGCCCUGCGUCGGGAGGUAAUAACUCUUCAGGGACUCGGCGCCGAGCGCUGACAAGCCGCCGGGAGGGCUGUGGAAAUCCUUUCUGCGGAUGAGCCGAGAGGAUUCUCCUGCUAUCCCCCUAAAGCCUGCGUGUCACCUAGUCCAAUAAAAGGCAUUAUCGGGAA